This 552-nucleotide ribosomal RNA is filed under the name uncultured bacterium. RNAcentral's name for it is "bacterial SSU rRNA". It matches the Rfam family "Bacterial small subunit ribosomal RNA", at positions 777 to 1327 of the family's 1533-position model. The record is from RNAcentral.
AAUAGAUACCCGGGUAGUCCACGCCGUAAACGAUGAGUGCUAAGUGUUAGGGGGUUUCCGCCCCUUAGUGCUGCAGCUAACGCAUUAAGCACUCCGCCUGGGGAGUACGGUCGCAAGACUGAAACUCAAAGGAGUUGACGGGGGCCCGCACAAGCGGUGGAGCAUGUGGUUUAAUUCGAAGCAACGCGAAGAACCUUACCAGGUCUUGACAUCCCAUUGACCACUAUGGAGACAUAGUUUUCCCUUCGGGGACAACGGUGACAGGUGGUGCAUGGUUGUCGUCAGCUCGUGUCGUGAGAUGUUGGGUUAAGUCCCGCAACGAGCGCAACCCUUGUUCUUAGUUGCCAUCAUUUAGUUGGGCACUCUAAGGAGACUGCCGGUGACAAACCGGAGGAAGGUGGGGAUGACGUCAAAUCAUCAUGCCCCUUAUGACCUGGGCUACACACGUGCUACAAUGGACGGUACAAACGGUUGCCAACCCGCGAGGGGGAGCUAAUCCGAUAAAACCGUUCUCAGUUCGGAUUGUAGGCUGCAACUCGCCUACAUGAAGCC